Long non-coding RNA from Mus musculus (house mouse), 2533 nucleotides. RefSeq annotates it as predicted gene, 39377. NCBI's taxonomy places the organism in Eukaryota, Metazoa, Chordata, Mammalia, Rodentia, Muridae. The transcript has 4 exons. The record is from RefSeq and is a predicted model, not a curated record.
UGUGUAGUUUUGCAGGCAGUCUGGGUCAUCGGAAGUCCUGUUGACUCUCCUGUGAGAACACACACACCACUCAGGAAGUGAAGGAGAUUCAGCAAUGCCUAAGGAUUUCCUCCUCAUCUGAGGAAACUGAUGUGAGAACCUACAGAAAGCCUGGUCUUUUCUCAUGUUCUCCUGAAUAGAGCAUAUAUAAAACAGAUAGAUGAUGUUCUCCUCCGCUUGUACGCUGGAGUCACCGAGGUGACCUAGUCACUUGAUUUCCAUGUAGAAAUUGAUUAGAUGUGCCUUUAUUGAAGGAGAUAUGCCACUGAGGACAGGCUUUUAGGUUUCAGAAAACCUGAGCAGGCAUUCCUAUCUGCCCCUGCUUGUUGAUCAAGAGGGGAAAGGAGACUAAAAACCAAAAGACUACACACACUGAGCAUCAGAUGUAAACUGUCCUAUGCUGAGUAUGACAGGUAACACGUCUGGCCAAUAGUUAAAGAGAUGCAUGGGCAUCCCGUGAACCAAACUGCAGAAAAUGGUACAGCCAUAGCCUGAGUCACGUAGAGUUGCUGGAGUUUGCAAAGUGAUCUGGCUUUAUUCUAAAGUCAGGAGAAGCCGAAAGCAGAUUAUAGGCAUGCGAAUAACAUCAUCUUAUGACGGACCACUUAAAGAACCAUCUGGUUUGACUGUAGUGAAUGUAUCAGAUAAGUCCUCCUAAAUCCAGCCUUUCUUUAUCUGUGUUUAACUACAUCCAGAGUUAAACAAGAGGCUGUGAAAGGGCUAACCUCUCACAGGGUGUAAUGCUUUAAAGGAAUCUGUUUCUUUUGGAAAAUAUUGAAGACCAUAAAAUGUUUAAAUAUUGGUACAUUGCCCAUAAAAUAAUGAUUGCCAAGAGGAUUCUGAAAUCCAUAUCAGGAACAAAAUGUUCUUUUCUCUACAGAAUACAGUGGACGGUAAUAAAAUUCUCUCUCUCUCUCUCUCUCUCUCUCUCUCUCUCUCUCUCUCACCUUUAUAGUUACUAGUUUGUUUAAAUAGCACAUUUUGUUAUCACUGUAAAAAAAAAAAACACUGACAUAUUUUUCUUGUAUUUCAAUCAAGUAUUUUACACAGAGGCCAAAGAGUCAGGCCUACUGUAAGCUCUAUUGUCCUUAUUUUAAUUUUCUUCUUCCAUUAGACUUCACUUAAUUCUUUUACUUUGUAUGAAUGUUGCAUGAACUUGAAUGUGCAGGUACAUGCACCUGCAUGCAUGCAUGCAUACAAAGGACAAUGCAGGACUGCAAGUGUUUUUCAAUAUCAUCACACCCCUGCCCCAGUGUAUUGCCUUGAGACAUGCUCUGUCACUGAAUUAGAAGCUCGCUGUUUGGAUAAGCUUGGAUGGGCAGGGAGAUUUGGGGACUCACCUGUCUUCACCCAUUACCUCUAAUGCUGAGGUUAUAUGCUAUAUGCAUACACUGCCAUGACUGACUUUUUACAUGUGUGCUGAAUGUUUAGAUUCAGGUCCUUAUGCUUGUAGAUCAAGUGCUUCCACUGUGCCACUCCAUCAAGUGCAUACAUACACUGUUUCUCUGGCCCUUUCAAUUAUCUUCUAGCAGAUGAUAAAACUCCCUUCCCUAAGGUUCAUCAGGAUGCAAUUGACACAAUAGAUAGUAACUUCAUUUCCUAGUAUAUUUUAUGAGUUCUUUGAUAAUUUCAUGCAAUGUGUUUUGUAUUACUGGUUUGUUCCUCAUGGCUUGUUCAGCCUUCUUUCUUACACAGUUCAGAUCUGUGGGGCCACUGUGGGUGGUGGUGCCUCCCCUGGGUGGGGCCCUCCUGUAUCACUCAGUAAUCAAGAAAAUGCCCUCCAGAUUUGCACACAGACCAAUUUGGUGACGAUAUUUUCUCUAUUGAGAUUCCCUCACUUCCAGAUGAUCCUAGCAAAAACUAGCAAUCAUACAUGUCAUCUGGUGUUAUCUUUGUGCCUCAAAGUGACUAUAGCAGUGCAAACUGAGGAUUCCUCCCUCACUGUUAUUGUGGGUCUAUCUCCAAAGCUUCUUUUUUUGUUUUGUUUUCCUAUUUAGGAUAAAUUUUACUUUAAAAAAAUUCUGAUUCUCGUUGGCUUACAGAGAGGUAUCUUACCCAGAAAUCUUUGUUGAGUCUAUUUCUCUCUUGUAUAUUUUCAUCUCUUGUAAAACUUAAGCUGUACUUCAUCUUCUAAUGUCCAAAGGAUAACUUCAAAUGUAAAUAUUUUUCUGUAUGAAUGUAAAUGUGAUACUUCUGUAUAUAUGUGUGGAUCUCAUGAUGACAGAUAUUUUUUGCUAUAAUAAAAAUAUAUUCAUCAAUAUACACUAUUGAUGUCAGGAGCUGGGGAGAUUGGAGUUAGCUUAAGCUGUUCAGCCCACACAGCAGUGCAAUUUUACUGUGGUUGGAACUCAUAAAAUUUGGGGAAGUGUGGAAAACUUCAAUUUUGUAAUGCUUUGAAGUACUUCUAUGUGUUAAUAUUUCUUGUAACUUUCUUGCCAUGUGAUGACUAUAUUAUUUGCCUCAAUAUGAUAGAAUAAAUUAAGUAAAGUAAGCU